AGGGUCAUUCCACAGUAUUCCGUCUGUUGCGGAGGGGAAAUUUAGAGGUCAACUCGAUAUAAAGUUAAACAAAAUACCAAAACCAGCCAAGAAUGCCCGCAGGUGUGGCCUUUUAUCAACUUCCUGGAGAGGGAGAUCAUUAUAAACGGAACGUAGAGACUGUGUCCUUGUUUGAUCUCAAGCGAACGAAUGGUUGGUGGCCUGCAGUAGGAACGGACGAUGGACAACAAAUACUGGCGGUGAGUCACUCGAUAUGUAACGUAUAUUUGCAUACAUCACUGGGUUUAAUUGCUGGAAGUCACCUUUCACUUAACAAUCUGUCUGAUAUGUGAACAUAGGCGUACGGGCCCUUUCGGACUUGGGGGGGAGAGGGGGGGACCGUGACCAUCUUGCCCGAAAAAUUUACGCAAUUCCGGAAUGCGUGAUUGUUGAAAUAGGCAUGCAAACGCACUCAAAUUGCAUGAAAAACAAAAUCGCUCACAAUUCCUACAUCUGCUAAAGCCGUGUGGCAUGAGAUUUUCGCUUGAGUUUAAUUUCACGGAUUUUGGACUUUUCAGGUUUCGCGGGAAAAAUUUUUCGCGACUUUGGAUUUCAGGCUUUACUCCUGGGAAUAAUUUCAUGUACAGUACUUGAAAGUAGCAAAAACGGAGGCCAUAUGGUCGUUUUCGUUUUCCAGAAUCACGUGUUGGUUGAACACCGUUAGAACGUCACGUUAAAUGUGCGAGUUGUCAAAAAGUGUUGCUUAUUAUUGUUGUAAUUUAUUAUCUUGUGAGCAAUAGCGGGCAAAAAAUUUGUUUUUAUCUUUAAAUUUUCGCAAAAGUUUAGUAAUUACCCUCAUAUCCAUUUGUUUUGAAGUUGAAGGAUGUCACUCAUUUGAAAUACAGUUACACUUUACAGUUACCUGCAAUUAUUCGUUUUUUGCAGGCGGGGGCAAAAUUCGUGCCGGAUCUACUCGGAUCGCUGGUUUAAAUAAGAAUGGCAACCAUUCAAGAACAAGGCAUAUGCAAUACAUGCCAUUUUAUGUAAAUUAGCCAUCCGAGUUGAUCGGGUCCGAGGUUUGUACCUGCCCGUUUUUUACCGUCACCUCCUUGUGGUACUUUGAAAGAGCAUGCAAACGACUCCAUUUCUAAAUGUUCAUCUUCUCUAAGUUAUUCUGUGACCAAGAAACCUGCGAAGUUAACGAUGUUACCAUCGAAUUCGUCCAUAUCGACUUGGCAGAUGGCCUUUGGUGCGAAACUUAAACAAGAGAGCGCCGUGUAGUUAGUGCAUUGACAUGGGUGUUGUAUUGAAACGAUGGCCGCCAACGCGUGGACAUUUGACGUCGAAAAAGGUAAAGACUAGAAUAUGUUUCCUCAACGGUCUCCUUGACAGGGAAUCAACUUAGUUUGCGUCCCUUGUUGAAAGCUGCCCACGAAAAAUAUACUUAUAAACGGUUGUAUGUAUUGAAAAGAUAAUCUUCGAGCGACUUUUUCUGUUUAACAUGUUUAAUUUUAUGCACGACCAGUUUGCAUAAAUUAAUUAGAACAGGACGCCUUUCGCACAAAUGAUUAGAACCAGAAACAUUGGGUUGUUUGGAACCAACCUUUUAAUAACAGAAGUACAUUUAACAAGCUUUUCAAGAGCUAAGUCCUUGAGGGAAGUGUGCACGGUAAGUUAAUUUUUCAUAUGUUCUCCACUUUCUGUAGAGACUCUUAGUAUGAGAAUGACUCGUGAUCUAUGAAGUAUUUGCAGCGUCCAAUAAGCAGCUGUUUAAUAUGUCGAGCUCGUCUUACCACCGGUUCAUCGUGUCAUUUUUUCCUUAAUUAGGUAAGCACGCACGAUUUCAUGAAAACGUUCUUUGAUUGACAUGGACAGACACACAGUAGGAUAGUGGUAUUCUUCAAACCACAGACAGGCAGAUCACCCAACAUCUGACUUUGUCCCUUCAAGCAAACGUACUUCAAGCAUCAGUGGGAUGGGUAAAGUGACGAUCAUCGCAUUGCGAUGAAUCAGAGAAAGACGACUGUUAAGAUAAUGCCGUUCUUUAAGAGGCAGAACUGGUCAGCUGAUAUCAUAAUGCUGGAGAGAGUUUCUCGUGGUUGACAUGGAGAUGAAGACGCAAUGAAAUAAAACCUGUUCCUCAAACAAGAGGAAAAAGGCAAGCAUAGAAUGGGAAAAGCUAGAAAUACACAAAGGAUAUUGGAGUUUGGAAAGAAGGGCAAUUUGAUGACGAGACUAUGACUAAUUGACAAGAUUCCAAGACAAAAUUCAGUUAGUUUUGUGGAGUCAUCAUGCAAGGAAAAGUGGAUUAUAAUAAAAUGACUUUCGACAGAAAAUUGACUGGGAUGUAUGCUGUGCUGAGGGAAAAGUCGGAAAACUGUCUUGGAUUGAUUAAGAAUGUGCGCAUUGAAAGCCAACGAGGAACAAGUCGAAAAUAAUGACCAAGUCUCUUGGCGAGAAAAUUAUUCUAGGUUAAAGAUAUUGUGCUUUUAAAAGGGACCAAAAAAA
Long non-coding RNA from Orbicella faveolata, 2487 nucleotides. NCBI's taxonomy places the organism in Eukaryota, Metazoa, Cnidaria, Anthozoa, Scleractinia, Merulinidae. The record is from RefSeq and is a predicted model, not a curated record.